RNAcentral lists this ribosomal RNA (410 nucleotides) under uncultured Bacteroidota bacterium. RNAcentral's name for it is "bacterial SSU rRNA". It matches the Rfam family "Bacterial small subunit ribosomal RNA", at positions 364 to 772 of the family's 1533-position model. The record is from RNAcentral. Lineage: Bacteria; Pseudomonadati; Bacteroidota.
UUGGUCAAUGGACGAGAGUCUGAACCAGCCAUGCCGCGUGCAGGAAGAAUGCCUUUGGGUUGUAAACUGCUUUUAUACAGGAAGAAUUGCAGAGACUUGUCUUUGUUUGACGGUACUGUAUGAAUAAGGACCGGCUAACUACGUGCCAGCAGCCGCGGUAAUACGUAGGGUCCAAGCGUUAUCCGGAAUUAUUGGGUUUAAAGGGUCCGUAGGCGGGCCUAUAAGUCAGAGGUGAAAUCUUACAGCUUAACUGUGAAAUUGCCUUUGAUACUGUAGGUCUUGAGUGUGAAUGAAGUGGGCGGAAUGAGAUGUGUAGCGGUGAAAUGCUUAGAUAUGUCUCAGAACACCGAUUGCGAAGGCAGCUCACUAAGCCACAACUGACGCUGAGGGACGAAAGCGUGGGUAGCGAA